This 2625-nucleotide long non-coding RNA is filed under the name Nicotiana benthamiana. RNAcentral describes it as "long non-coding RNA (NBEN_LNC038620)". The record is from RNAcentral. Lineage: Eukaryota; Viridiplantae; Streptophyta; Magnoliopsida; Solanales; Solanaceae.
GACUCGAUCAGAUGAGGCCAUAUGGCCCAAGAUACUACCAAGCUGUAAGAUUAAAAUCCCACGACGAAUUCCAUUUGAGCCCAAGCAGAGGGUCAAAAUUCUUUAAAGCCUUAGAACUACCAUCAAGGAGACCCGACAUCCAGUUUGUAUCGUGCACAAAUGAUGGCUGAGUAGAAAAAGAUCAAAGCAAACCCAAAUAGCCAGUCACAAAAUGACCAUAUGUACAAUAUAUGAUCAAUGACAUGAUUUUGAAAGAAGAAAAAAUAAUUAAAUGUCCCGCUCUUGAAGAACUACACAUCAUAUGACUUUAAAUUCUUAAGUCUUAAGUUAACUUGAAAUGUUGGCAAUUAAACUUUAAUUAAACCUCACAUGAACAUAAUUGUAGGAUUUAAAACUGUGAACUUAAACAACUAAACAUGCUCGACUGACAUACAAACAAUUAUAAAUAGCAAUUGAAUCAUUUUUAACAUAAUUAUGCUACAUUAAAUUUUCCCCUAACAAUGACAGUUCCCCAAACCAUUAAGUUAAAGUCCAGCUUUCCAUGAGUCUCAAAAAAUCUUACUAAAGGGCAUUUAAAGUCCAUUCAAGAACAAAUACAAACGCAAAAAUGCUUGCAUGACUAAUUAUUCCUACUGAUCUCACAUAAGAAUCAGGCAUACAUAUCCAUACUACUUAUACCUACGAUUAUUGAAUAUACACAUCUUUAAAUGGGUAGGUGAAUAGCUUAAAUGACAUGUAGAACUACAUAUCUAUUUCAUAAUACUAAAAUAGCAGGAGGAACAAAAGUAGUUAAGUCCAAUGCAGCCUGUAUUCAACCAAACUUUCAAUUUAUGUGUUCAACAAUCAACUAGUUACUCAUGGGCGAAAAAGGUACAUGGGAAGUAAAAAGAACAAGAAACAGAUAGAUCAGCAGCAGGCAGUCUCAAGAACAGUGGUCUGCCGCAGAGAUAAACUAGAGAACCAACUUUAAACCAAGGAAUGAUGUGCAAUAAUCAGCCAAAAUCAACCAGAACUUCAAACCAAACUUUUUCUAAAAAAAACUCAAUCCAUUUUUGGAUCCAUGAUGAAUCAGAAGAUGUUUCAAGAUUAGAAAAUUUCAUAAAAUCACCAAAGAAAACCAAUGGAACAGUGUUUCACUAGAAUUUUUUAGCCAUUUGUUUCAUUUCUGGAUUUUCUCUCUUAAGGUCUCUAAGUUCUGCCUUGAAAUGCAAGGAAGAUAUGCCUUUAUAGGCAAAGAAGUAUGGCAGCCUAGAAAUGUUCAAUUUUGCAGUUAAGCCAUUUUUGAAUUUUCUUUUUUGCUUAGCAGUCCUUAAAUUACUGACUUGUUGGACAAAUAAAGCUAUUUUCAGCUUCUAAUAAGCUUCCUAAGGUAUUUAACAAAAGAUUCCCUAAGUAGACUACCCAAUUUACCCUUAGUUACCCCUAAAAUUUACCUUGACGGAGCAACCUGGGUCAGAUUGACCCAAGGCAAAUCAAACCUGGGCCUUUAACCAAAUUAGGAUUAAUCCCUUUCUUUGGGUAUUGAUUUCCCACGUCCCAAUUCACAAUCAAAGAUUUCCAAUUUCGACAUCCACAAUUGAAACUAAUCAAAGUUUUCUCCAAAAGGAGGCCUGGAAACAUUAAAAUGCAAUCAAAACAAAAGAAAGAAAAGUGAACUAAUUAACCUAACAACAACAGUACAUUUAACUAAUCUAUUGGCUUAACAAAAUCAUGCAAUUUUAAUCAAUCAGAAACUAAACAAUUAAACAGGACUGGAGAGCAAACUUGGAGAAACAAAGGAAACUGCGAGGACCAAAAGGGCCAAACUCGAAUUCAGCCAAAACUCUUGUCAACUUGCAGAUAAGAAAAGAAAGGAAAUAAGAAGGAACACCAAGUGAAUGAGACCAAAAACAGAGCAAAAAUGAGAUAGAGCUCGCCGACCAAACUUUGAAAUGGCGCUUGGAAUUUGACUCACACAAAAAUUGAUACCAGUCAUUUUUCUCCGUCAAGAAAGAGCGAGUGGCAUCAAAUUUUUAGUGAAUCAGCUUUCCAAAUGUGAGAAGAUCCAACCUCGGCCGAUGCAUGCCACUAAAUUCUACAACAACUAGUUUGUAAUUUUCUAGGGCUUGAACUUGGAUCUAAGAUUCGAGUGGUUCUGGGCCGAUUCGAAAGAAAAGAGUUUGUGUUGUGGAAAGAGGUGAGUAUGGUGGUAGUUUGGUGUUGGUUUGGGUGGUAUUGGAGGUGGCGCCUCCACCGGAGAACAUCGUGGCGGCGCUAGAGUUUCUGAAGUUUGAGGCCUUCUGGAUGGAUUUGGAGAAAAUGGUCAGGGAUUUGAGAUGAGGGGAACCUGGGGAUCAUUUGGUGUAAAAGUGAGGGUGAUGGGCCCGCCGUUUACCGCUGUGGGCAUUUCCCACGGGCGACGGACGGCGGUUCACGGUGGGGUUUGGCUGGGGUUAUCUGAGGGUGUGUUAGAGACGGUUUGGGGGGGGGGAGUGUUAGGACAUAUAAAUAUUUAUUGCAUCCCUAGUUCGGAACCGUUGGAUCUCAAUGAUCCAACGAUUGAGAUUGAACCUAUUCAAAAUAGGGGUCAUUUGGAUAGGUGGGGGUUCUAGGACUGGGUUUUGAUGGAUUUUGGGCUUGGUAUGG